GACAGAGGGUGCAAACGUUGCUCGGAAUUACUGGGCGUAAAGCGCGUGUAGGCGGGAAGAUAAGUCGGGUGUGAAAUCCCUGGGCUCAACCUAGGAACUGCAUCCGAAACUGCCUUUCUGGAGUGAUGGAGAGGAAAGCGGAAUUCCCGGUGUAGAGGUGAAAUUCGUAGAUAUCUGGAGGAACACCGGUGGCGAAGGCGGCAUCCUGGACCGGCAUUGACGCUGAGGCGCGAAAGCCAGGGGAGCAAACGGG
RNAcentral lists this ribosomal RNA (253 nucleotides) under uncultured bacterium. Its description in RNAcentral is "partial 16S ribosomal RNA". It matches the Rfam family "Bacterial small subunit ribosomal RNA", at positions 524 to 776 of the family's 1533-position model. The record is from RNAcentral.